UACGUAGGGACCAAGCGUUGUCCGGAAUCAUUGGGCGUAAAGCGCGCGUAGGUGGCCAUUUAAGUCCGCUGUGAAAGUCAGAGGCUCAACCUUUGAAAGCCGGUGGAUACUGGAUGGCUAGAGUACGGAAGAGGCGAGUGGAAUUCCUGGUGUAGCGGUGGAAUGCGCAGAUAUCAGGAGGAACACCAAUAGCGAAGGCAGCUCGCUGGGACGUUACUGACACUAAGGCGCGAAAGCGUGGGGAGCAAACAGGG
This 254-nucleotide ribosomal RNA is filed under the name uncultured bacterium. RNAcentral's name for it is "partial 16S ribosomal RNA". It matches the Rfam family "Bacterial small subunit ribosomal RNA", at positions 524 to 777 of the family's 1533-position model. The record is from RNAcentral.